RNAcentral lists this ribosomal RNA (2078 nucleotides) under metagenome. Its description in RNAcentral is "bacterial LSU rRNA". It matches the Rfam family "Bacterial large subunit ribosomal RNA", at positions 1 to 2114 of the family's 2925-position model. The record is from RNAcentral.
UCAAACAAGAAAGAGCGCAGGGUGGAUGCCUUGGCACUAAGAGCCGAUGAAGGACGUGAUAAGCUGCGAAAAGCUGCGGGGAGGAGCAAAUAUCCAUUGAUCCGCAGGUAUCCGAAUGGGGAAACCCACCUGGAUAGACUCCAGGUAUCCAUACGCCAAUCCAUAACGUAUGGAAGGGAACCCGGUGAACUGAAACAUCUAAGUAGCCGGAGGAAAAGAAAGAAAACUCGAUUCCCAGAGUAGCGGCGAGCGAAAUGGGAGGAGCCUAAACCAGCGUGCGUGCAUGCUGGGGUUAUGGACUGCAUAAGUUACCAGAAAGGAUAGUGGAAUGGUUUUGGGAAAGCCAGCCAGAGAGGGUGAAAGCCCCGUACACGAAAUCCGGACCGGGACGGCAGGAUCCAGAGUACCACGAGACACGUGGAACCUUGUGGGAAGUCGGGGGGACCACCCCCCAAGGCUAAAUACUCCUUAGUGACCGAUAGCGCAUAGUACUGUGAAGGAAAGGUGAAAAGGACCCCGGGAGGGGAGUGAAAGAGAACCUGAAACCCUGUGUUUACAAGCUGUGGGAGCACCUUAUGAGUGCGACCGCGUACUUUUUGUAGAACGGUCCGGCGAGUUACGCUGGCUGGCGAGGUUAAACGGUAGAGCCGUGGAGCCGAAGGGAAACCAAGUCUUAAGAGGGCGGAAAAGUCAGUCAGAGUAGACCCGAAACCGGGUGAUCUAUCCAUGUCCAGGUUGAAGUUGCCGUAAAAGGCAAUGGAGGACCGAACCCACAUCCGUUGAAAAGGGUGGGGAUGAGGUGUGGAUAGGGGAGAAAUUCCAAUCGAACCCGGAGAUAGCUGGUUCUCCUCGAAAUAGCUUUAGGGCUAGCCUCGAUAGAGUCUUGCGGAGGUAGAGCACUGAAUUUCCUAGGGGGCGUCAAAGCUUACCGAAGAAUAUCAAACUCCGAAUGCCGUGUAGAUGCUUAUCGGGAGUCAGACUAUACGAGAUAAGUUGGAUAGUCAAAAGGGAAAGAGCCCAGACCUCCAGCUAAGGUCCCAAAGUACGUGUUAAGUGGAAAAGGAUGUGGGAUUUCAAAGACAACCAGGAUGUUGGCUCAGAAGCAGCCAUACAUUCAAAGAGUGCGUAAUAGCUCACUGGUCGAGAGGUCCUGCGCCGAAAAUGUCCGGGGCUGAAACACGACACCGAAGCUGAGGAAUGUCUAGAGACAUUGGUAGAGGAGCAUUGGAUACGCAACGAAGCAGUACCGGAAGGAGCUGUGGAGUGUAUCGAAGAGAGAAUGCCGGAAUGAGUAGCGAGAGAGAGGUGGGAAUCCUCUCGGCCGAAUAUCUAAGGUUUCCAGGGUAAAGCUGAUCUGCCCUGGGUAAGUCGGGGCCUAAGGCGAGGACGAGAGUCGUAGCCGAUGGACAACAGGUUGAGAUUCCUGUACUGCAGUAAGACAGAACUGUGGGGACACGUGUGGAGAGCAUAGGCGCGGAAUGGAAAGCCGCGUGCAAGCGAGGUAGGAGUCCUGUAGGAAAAACCGCAGGGCAAUCCGAAGGCGUGAUGCGGACCGAAAUCUAGUAGGGAAGUAUGUGAGCCAUGCGUCAAGAAAAGCCGCUAUUGUUCUUAUUGUACCCGUACCGUAAACCGACACAGGUGGAUGAGGAGAGAAUCCUAAGGCCGACGGAAGAAGCAUUGUUAAGGAACUCGGCAAAAUGACCCCGUAACUUCGGGAGAAGGGGUGCCACAGAAAUGUGGCCGCAGAGAAUAGGCUCAAGCAACUGUUUAGCAAAAACACAGGUCUAUGCAAAACCGAAAGGUGAGGUAUAUGGGCUGACGCCUGCCCGGUGCUGGAAGGUUAAGAGGAGAGGUUAGCGCAAGCGAAGCUUUGAAUUGAAGCCCCAGUAAACGGCGGCCGUAACUAUAACGGUCCUAAGGUAGCGAAAUUCCUUGUCGGGUAAGUUCCGACCCGCACGAAAGGCGUAAUGAUUUGAGCGCUGUCUCGACAAUGCAUCCGGUGAAAUUGAAGUACCAGUGAAGAUGCUGGUUACCUGCGCCAGGACGGAAAGACCCCAUGGAGCUUUACUCCAGCUUGA